UCAAAUGUUGUCUCCUUCAGGAAGCUCGAAUAUGUACUGGCUUGCAGCAUCUCAGUUCGAAUCAUGACCAAAAUAACACAAAGGUCUUCGUAUGUUUGACCAUCAUGUUUGGAUUUCAAUAGGGUUUUUCAAAAAAAUAACCCUCUUUGCGAAGUAAAUCUCGAUGAAAACGAUUAUUUAUUAAAUCAUUAAUCACAAAGU
RNAcentral lists this long non-coding RNA (201 nucleotides) under Medicago truncatula (barrel medic). Its description in RNAcentral is "long non-coding RNA (MTRU_LNC006597)". The record is from RNAcentral. Lineage: Eukaryota; Viridiplantae; Streptophyta; Magnoliopsida; Fabales; Fabaceae.